AGACUAUAAAUAGACUAUUCUGAUUAAAAUAUCUUUUCUAUUUAAUAAUAUAAUUUAAACUAGUUUAUGCUGAGAUACGCAAAAUUUUGAUUCUUUUCAGUUUUUUCUGUAGAAUUUGAUUUUAAGCUCCUGAUUAUCCCUCAACUAAGGAAAAUACCCUUACGGAGACACUUAGCUCAUCAAAAGAUGAGAUGAACUAUUUUUUAUCAAAAAGUAAUGGUAGUAAUGCAGAUUUUUUACGCUCCUCAGAUGAAUAUAAGCCAAGCACAGACAGUGAUAGUUCUUAUGAGACAGAUAGUUCAGAUGAUAAUCUCCCACUCAGUACACUAGUUCACAAUAAAAAGCGAAUCAAAAAUAAAAAACAGCAGAGCUUACA
This is a long non-coding RNA of Anthonomus grandis grandis, 376 nucleotides long. RefSeq lists it as uncharacterized. The record is from RefSeq and is a predicted model, not a curated record. Lineage: Eukaryota; Metazoa; Arthropoda; Insecta; Coleoptera; Curculionidae. The transcript has 3 exons.